RNAcentral lists this ribosomal RNA (817 nucleotides) under uncultured soil bacterium. RNAcentral's name for it is "bacterial SSU rRNA". It matches the Rfam family "Bacterial small subunit ribosomal RNA", at positions 8 to 857 of the family's 1533-position model. The record is from RNAcentral.
AGAGUUUGAUCCUGGCUCAGAAUCAACGCUGGCGGCGUGCCUAACACAUGCAAGUCGCACGAGAAAGUGGAGCAAUCCAUGAGUACAGUGGCGCACGGGUGAGUAACACGUGACUAAUCUACCUCCGAGUGGGGAAUAACCUGGGGAAACCUGGGCUAAUACCGCAUAACACUUACGAGUCAAAGCAGCAAUGCGCUUGGAGAGGAGGUCGCGGUCGAUUAGUUAGUUGGCGGGGUAAUGGCCCACCAAGACGAUGAUCGAUAUCCGGCCUGAGAGGGCGCACGGACACACUGGAACUGAAACACGGUCCAGACUCCUACGGGAGGCAGCAGUGGGGAAUUUUGCGCAAUGGGGGAAACCCUGACGCAGCAACGCCGCGUGGAGGAUGAAGCCCCUUGGGGCGUAAACUCCUUUCGAUAGGGAAGAUAAUGACGGUACCUAUAGAAGAAGCCCCGGCUAACUUCGUGCCAGCAGCCGCGGUAAUACGAGGGGGGCAAGCGUUGUUCGGAAUUAUUGGGCGUAAAGGGUGCGUAGGCGGUUUGGUAAGUCUUGUGUGAAAUCUUCAGGCUCAACUUGAAGUCUGCACGAGAAACUACCGGACUAGAGUGUGGGAGAGGUGAGUGGAAUUUCCGGUGUAGCGGUGAAAUGCGUAGAUAUCGGAAGGAACACCUGUGGCGAAAGCGGCUCACUGGACCACAACUGACGCUGAGGCACGAAAGCUAGGGGAGCAAACAGGAUUAGAUACCCUGGUAGUCCUAGCCCUUAAACGAUGAUCGCUUGUGUGUCGGGUACCCAUUCUCGUCGUGCCGAGCUAACG